Molecule: small RNA, 131 nt
Filed under: Klebsiella michiganensis
Lineage: Bacteria; Pseudomonadati; Pseudomonadota; Gammaproteobacteria; Enterobacterales; Enterobacteriaceae
Description: RtT sRNA
Rfam family: RtT RNA
About the family: This family represents a bacterial cis-regulatory element known as RtT RNA. The exact function of RtT is unknown although it is thought that it may be involved in changing the cellular response in relation to amino acid starvation.
Source: RNAcentral
UACCCAUCCCAUGCGGGAAGGAUGAGAAGCUUCGACUAAGGUUCGAUUCGAGCGGAGCGAGAAAACGUUGCCGCAGGCAACGACCCGAAGGGCGAGGCGCAACGCGCCGAGUAAUCCUUCCCCCACCACCA